Molecule: long non-coding RNA, 336 nt
Filed under: Elaeis guineensis (African oil palm)
Lineage: Eukaryota; Viridiplantae; Streptophyta; Magnoliopsida; Arecales; Arecaceae
Description: long non-coding RNA (EGUI_LNC044245)
Source: RNAcentral
CUGUGAUUGGGAGUGGUCUUAUGAUAUCUCUAUACGUGUUGAAUGGAUGGAUUUAAGAAAGCUCUACUUCCACAAAGUUCAUGAAAAUUUUUUAUAAAAGACAUAGAAAUUGUGUAUACUACAUCAUAGUCCUAUUGCUUGGUUGUAGAAAUCUUGAGGGUGGAAAACUUAUGGUUGUGCUUGACCAUUCUUUGUGUUUGUUUUCUAAGCAUCAACAUCAUCAGAAGCACUUAAUUUAAAAAUACUUUGUUUAUAGCAAGUAGUAAAAGCUCAAUAUGAAAACCAAGUACAUGUAAGGUGUAUUUCAAUAUCAGAAUAAUUUAUUUUUAGGAAGGC